RNAcentral lists this transfer RNA (94 nucleotides) under Naumovozyma dairenensis CBS 421. It matches the Rfam family "tRNA". Rfam says of the family: Transfer RNA (tRNA) molecules are approximately 80 nucleotides in length. Their secondary structure includes four short double-helical elements and three loops (D, anti-codon, and T loops). Further hydrogen bonds mediate the characteristic L-shaped molecular structure. tRNAs have two regions of fundamental functional importance: the anti-codon, which is responsible for specific mRNA codon recognition, and the 3' end, to which the tRNAs corresponding amino acid is attached (by aminoacyl-tRNA synthetases). tRNAs cope with the degeneracy of the genetic code in two manners: having more than one tRNA (with a specific anti-codon) for a particular amino acid; and 'wobble' base-pairing, i.e. permitting non-standard base-pairing at the 3rd anti-codon position. Lineage: Eukaryota; Fungi; Ascomycota; Saccharomycetes; Saccharomycetales; Saccharomycetaceae. The record is from Rfam by way of RNAcentral.
GCGGAUUUAGCUCAGUUGGGAGAGCGCCAGACUGAAGUUUAAACUUCGGUCAUAAGAAAUCUGGAGGUCGUGUGUUCGAUCCACACAAUUCGCA